GCCCAGACUCCUACGGGAGGCAGCAGUGGGGAAUAUUGCACAAUGGGGGAAACCCUGAUGCAGCGACGCCGCGUGAAGGAUGAAGUAUUUCGGUAUGUAAACUUCUAUCAGCAGGGAAGAAAAUGACGGUACCUGACUAAGAAGCCCCGGCUAACUACGUGCCAGCGGCCGCGGUAAUACGUAGGGGGCAAGCGUUAUCCGGAUUUACUGGGUGUAAAGGGAGCGUAGACGGCAGUGCAAGUCCGGAGUGAAAGCCCGGGGCUCAACCCUGGGACUGCUCUGGAAACUGUAAAGCUGGAGUGCGGGAGGGGCAGGCGGAAUUCCUGGUGUAGCGGUGAAAUGCGUAGAUAUCAGGAGGAACACCGGCGGCGAAGGCGGCCUGCUGGACCGUAACUGACGUUGAGGCUCGAAAGCGUGGGGAGCAAACAGGAUUAGAUACCCCUGUA
Molecule: ribosomal RNA, 446 nt
Filed under: uncultured bacterium
Lineage: Bacteria
Description: bacterial SSU rRNA
Rfam family: Bacterial small subunit ribosomal RNA
Source: RNAcentral